CAGAACACAACCAAAUUAUUUAAAUCAAACAUGUAAUCCACCUGAAUCCAAAUUCAAACAUUUUAAUGAGAAUUCAAGAAAACACCCAAAAUGCAGAUUGUGUCCCACUCACCUCAAUAUUUUCUACAUACUCUUUGAGAAAACUGAUUGUUUGUCAUACUUGCAAAGAUUGUUCAAAACACAAAGCAAAUGAACUGCAACCAAUAACACCCGCAGAGCAAAGAUGUAGAACCCAAAUGGUGAUUUCGAACCCGCCGCAAUCGGAGCGACAGCAGAGCUUGACCUUAUGGGUCUGAUCGAGUGCCUUUAAUCUAGUGCAAAGAUGACCUGUUUCGGUUCGACCUAUGUGUGGUCGGUUGGACCGGAAAAUAGGUGAAAUCUCAUAUUGCACGCUGUCCAUUUUUUAAUGUUUUCAGUUCAACUGGAGCUGAUCUCAAUUCAAGUGAAAAUUAUUGGUAUAGACUCUUUGCUGGCUGUGAUAUUUUGCACGAUUUUGACUCAACACUCAGACCGAGGAAUGUCGAUUUUGUCUGGAACCAUGCAAAGCUUUCGCCUCGUUCCAGUUCUGUUGGAUGUCUCAAAAGAUUCUCUCUAUCAGGGGAAGUAUAUAUGCUUUUGCGUGUGAUAUUCAUUUGUUGUGAUUCCUCUAUUAUGCCUUUCUUGCUAUGAGUGUAUGGCAUACCUGCGCAGGAACCAUGCUAAUCUUCUUUGUUUUGUUCCAAUUUUAUCGGAUGUCUCCAAAGAGAUAGUAACGCCAAUUCCUCUAUUCCCUC
Molecule: long non-coding RNA, 773 nt
Organism: Magnolia sinica
Lineage: Eukaryota; Viridiplantae; Streptophyta; Magnoliopsida; Magnoliales; Magnoliaceae
Exons: 2
Source: RefSeq, a predicted model, not a curated record